CUUGUGCUUGCGCAGCAGGCAGCGAAACCACUGAGCUAAAUCCCCGGCCCUAAGGGUCUUCCUAAAUUACUGAAUUGUCCAAGCUGAGUUCAGACAUGAUCCUCCUUCCUGAGCUUCCCCGAGUGCUUGGAUUACAGUGAGCCCAGAGUGGAUCCAAGGUUGUCCUCCCUGGCCAUACUGGGUGCAGCCUCAGCCUCAUGGCACCAAAGUUGGCCUCGUGGAAGUCGCCAGCAACAUGGGUGAGUUCUGGAGCGCAUUUCACUCUAGUCAGUACUGGCCUCGACACACAGUACCUCCCUCCACUUUCUCAUUCUGUCUCUGGAAAUACUGCUGUGGGUUCCAUGACAACCUGUACACCAUGAUUGAUAGGGGUCAUUCCCCCCCCAUCCCCCUUCUCUCUGUCUCUCUCGUUCAGGCUGGUCCUGAACAAGUGUGCACCACAAAGCCUGGCCUCUUUCUGCUUAGCCACUCUA
This 473-nucleotide long non-coding RNA is filed under the name Heterocephalus glaber (naked mole-rat). Its description in RNAcentral is "lncRNA (ENSHGLG00000043752.1)". Lineage: Eukaryota; Metazoa; Chordata; Mammalia; Rodentia; Bathyergidae. The record is from RNAcentral.